This 649-nucleotide long non-coding RNA is filed under the name Thrips palmi. RNAcentral's name for it is "uncharacterized LOC117653434, transcript variant X1". The record is from RNAcentral. Lineage: Eukaryota; Metazoa; Arthropoda; Insecta; Thysanoptera; Thripidae.
UCUUCAUGUUGGGAUUCCUCACUCUGAGUGAAUCAGAUAGUUGAAAUGAUAUUUUUGCUGGCAUGUAAAGUUUGUGUUUCUCUUUUUUAGGACUGUUGCCCAGUUUGACAGCUUGAAAGCUUUCACUCGAAUGGAUCAAUCACACUUCUAUCUGAAACCCCUGGCUUCUCUGUUUGCUUGUCCUGCGCAAUCUCUGGUUCUUCACAAGGCCGAGAUCAGAGAAGAAGGAAACAGUGGUGCUACAAUUUUGUCUCUGAAUUCAAGUCAGCCUGGGGGAUUCCUUUGAGUAUGUGCAGCAAAGCCUUGAAGAGAGCCUGACUAUCGAUUCAAGAUGUCAUCAAGAAACUAACACACAACACCGCGCUACUCCAGCACUUGAGAACCAUUCCUCAGUAGGCAGCUAAUUCAACACUGCUGUGGCUGUCUUAACUCUUCUGCUGCACAAUCUCUUUUUGAUUCAUCACAAUGUGAAGCUUAGCUUAUGCAGCUUGCUGAAUGCAUUCGUAAUCUUCUUGUCUAAUUAAAGGCUUGGAUAUAUUAGAGUCUUCAUGAAUCUUCAUGAAAGAAUACGCUUUUGUGUCCUGUUGUCAAACUGGUAAAUUUCUGUUGCCAGAAUGGUUUGCUUUUGCAAAGGGAAACAGCUGUUAUG